ACAAACUUGGUCAUUUAGAGGAAGUAAAAGUCGUAACAAGGUUUCCGUAGGUGAACCUGCGGAAGGAUCAUUAAUGAAACAAAGUCGAUCGUCUGUGCUGGUGGAAACACAUGUGCACGUCGAUCGCAAAUCCAACACACCUGUGCACCCUUGACUUUGGGAUUCGCUUGCUGACUUUGUCUGGUGAGCAGCUGGUUGACUUGUCUGUCGACCGGAGUCUCAGGGUAUUUUUCACACAUGCUGAAUGUAAUGGAAUGUAACUGUGCAUAACGCGCAUUGUAACAACUUUCAACAACGGAUCUCUUGGCUCUCGCAUCGAUGAAGAACGCAGC
RNAcentral lists this unclassified non-coding RNA (332 nucleotides) under uncultured fungus. RNAcentral describes it as "partial contains small subunit ribosomal RNA, internal transcribed spacer 1, and 5.8S ribosomal RNA". The stretch from base 1 to 73 matches the Rfam family "Eukaryotic small subunit ribosomal RNA", at positions 1759 to 1831 of the family's 1831-position model. The record is from RNAcentral. Lineage: Eukaryota; Fungi.